RNAcentral lists this ribosomal RNA (440 nucleotides) under uncultured bacterium. Its description in RNAcentral is "partial 16S ribosomal RNA". It matches the Rfam family "Bacterial small subunit ribosomal RNA", at positions 338 to 795 of the family's 1533-position model. The record is from RNAcentral.
CCUACGGGAGACAGCAGUGGGGAAUAUUGCACAAUGGGGGGAACCCUGAUGCAGCGAAGCCGCGUGAGUGAAGAAGUAUUUCGGUACGUAAAGCUCUAUCAGCAAGGAAGAAAAUGACGGUACUUGACUAAGAAGCCCCGGCUAACUACGUGCCAGCAGCCCCGGUAAUACGGAGGUGGCAAGCGUGGUCCGGAUGUACUGGGUGUAAUGGGCGUGUAGCCGGGAAUGCAAGUCAGAUGUGAAAUCCGGAGGCUCAACCUCCGAAUUGCAUUUGAAACGGGUUGUCUUGAGUACUGGAGAGGCAGACGGAAUGCGUUGUGUAGCGGUGAAAUGCGUAGAUAUAAGGAGGAACACCAGUGGCGAAGGCGGUCUGCUGGACAGCCACUGACGGUGAGGCGCGAAAGCGUGGGGAGCAAACAGGAGUAGAUACCCCAGUAGUC